GACUUAUGCCAUUUUUAAAAAGAUCUACCGAAACUAAAAUCAUUACGAGCAGUGGUUUUUGAAAAAUCAGAAAAUGUUCGAAUGGGCUCAUAAAAAUACAAGAUUUUAACAAUAGUGAGAGUACUCAUAAAACAUUGCCAAAAUCGCCUCACAUAACACUGCCAAAACAAUGAGCUUCCGCAGUUUUCGAGCUUCACCCUAAGUUCGGUUUUUUACACUCACAAACACAUCAAAAUCAUAUUUCCAAGCAUAAAUUAUUGUAAUCAUGUAAUGGCUCAUAUAUCACUUCAUGGAACAAAGGGAACAUGCUAAAGUGUGCGUGUGUUGACCAAGCGGCAAGGGCUUAAUGCCUAAGGCCAAAGGUCUUGGGUUCAAGCUCCCUAUGGCGCGGCCUUUUAAUUUCUUUAUUUAAUAUUGUUAAUUUAUAUAUAUAAAAAAAUGAAAAUGCUAAGAAAACAUACUAGGCCUUCUAAAAGGCACUUACCCUCGUUGCCAACUUUUCACUCUAAUUUUACGUCCAAACUCUUCACUCUAGUUUUCUUUCACCUGCUGCCUUGGCUUAGUUGAAGCUUCAAGAAGAUGCUCUUGGGAUGGUGUGGAGGAGGAAGAAGGUGCAAGAUGUGUGUGUAUUUGGAAAAUGGGGAAAGAUGAGGGAGAUAGAGAUUAGAGAGUGCUUUCUUUUGUCUUGCUUGUGUUAGGAUUUCAAGUGGAAGACAAAUGAAUAAUUAUUACACUGAAUUGAGGGGGGGAGGGGGACCAAACAUGAUAGAGGAGAGAGAGGGAUUCCCACCAAUGCAUGUGGUGCCUUUGGUGCACUUUAUAAUAAUGAAUUUUCCCUUCCCAUGCAUAGCUUGUAGUUGUAGGUAAUGACGCCCCUUAGACUCAUUUUAAAAUUCAAAUUUUGGUUGAAAAUAUAAGCUUAAAAAUAGAUGAAUAUAGCUGAAAAU
Molecule: long non-coding RNA, 947 nt
Filed under: Salvia miltiorrhiza (redroot sage)
Lineage: Eukaryota; Viridiplantae; Streptophyta; Magnoliopsida; Lamiales; Lamiaceae
Description: long non-coding RNA (SMIL_LNC001568)
Source: RNAcentral